CUUGUACCACGAACAUGCAAAGUUACUCAACAAGCUGUUCCAUAAUUACGAUGAAAUAUCUCGACCUUCACCUGGUUCCCAAUAUCCUGUCAAUGUCACUCUGGGAAUCGCAGUCGCACAGUUAGUCAAAGUGGUUAGUAAAAACUGUUUAUUCAAAUUUCCACUGAUGUGAAAUAGUUGAAUCCAUCUUGUCUUCUGUUGUGUAAUU
Molecule: non-coding RNA, 208 nt
Organism: Paramuricea clavata
Lineage: Eukaryota; Metazoa; Cnidaria; Anthozoa; Malacalcyonacea; Plexauridae
Source: the annotation of a GenBank genome assembly